AGUGAACGCUGGCGGUAUGCCUAACACAUGCAAGUCGAACGCCAGCACAUUAAGAGCUUGCUCUUACGGGUGGCGAGUGACGGACGGUUUCUGCAUACCUCUGAAUCUACUUUUUCGUGGGGGAUAACUUAGGGCAACUUCCGCUACUCCCUCAUACGACCUACGGGUGAAUGCACGGGAUCUUCGGCCCUUGCCCGAUUGAAUGAUCCGAUGUCGGAUUAGCUAGUUGGCGGGGUAAAGGCCCCCCAAGGCGACGAUCCGUAGCUGGUCCGAGAGGAUGAUCAGGCACACUGGAACUGAGAAACGGUACAGACACUGACGGGAGGAAGCAGUGGGGAAUAUUGGACAAUGGGCGAAAGACGGAUGUAGCCAAACCGCGUGAGUGAUGAAGGACUUAGGGUUGGAAAACGAUGUUGUUGGGAAAGAAAAGAAGCAGGUUAAGAGCCGAUUGUUCUGACGGUACCCAAAGAAUAAGCCCCGGCUAACUUCGUG
Molecule: ribosomal RNA, 492 nt
Filed under: uncultured bacterium
Lineage: Bacteria
Description: partial 16S ribosomal RNA
Rfam family: Bacterial small subunit ribosomal RNA
Source: RNAcentral